UUCCUCCCCAGACUGCCCACCAGGUCCCGCUUCCCUAGUCUGCCCUCCGGGACCGGAGCUCCCAAUUCCCGCCUCCUCCUCAGAGGCCCUAGGACCUACCAACCUCACCCCCGCCAAGGCUCAGUUCUCUGCGCCUGCGUACUCCCGCGCGGGCAGGCGCUCCCAGGAGUCUGCGGGGCGGCGGGUUAGGAACGGCAAGGUCCCAGCUGCGGACGCUCCGGUGUGUUAGUGUCGGCGUCCGCACUCUUCCGGGUUGGACUCCGUUUUUCACAGGCCUUGGGGAGAUUGAUGAACUUCGGCCUCUGGUUCUUUUUCCGCUAGCCUUGUGGUCAUCGAUUUUGUGCGUUCUCACCCCUGUAGUCUCUGUGCUUCUCCAGGAGGGAAACCCUGAAGAGUACUGACAAGUUUCUCAACCAUUUUAAACCAUGGCUUUGGAAUGGGGAACAUUCAGGAAAGCGGCCCUAGAGUUCACUCAGGAGGAGUGGAAUAUCUGGGGUUCUGCUCUGAGGGAACUGUACUGGGAUGUGAUGAUGGAAAACAGCAACUUAGUCUUACUGGAAUGGAGACGUGUAAAUGGGACAAAGCACUCCUGGGAUAUGACUACGAGGGAGAGAUGGAGAAACAUGAUCCAUAAGGGUGAGCUGGAGAUGGAAGAAAGGACACAGUGUAACACGGGAACCUCCCUUCUUGCCAUAUAGUAAUAUUAUAAUCUAUUGAUUUUACGUCUAUGUUUACUCACUAGAAAACCAAGGUCUGUGGACAUAAUAAAGUCUUCUUCUUGUAUGGGCUCUCCUAAGCACUCAAUACUUAGACACCAAAUCACUGUCUAGACAAGAAAGGUUCAUUCAAGGAAUAUAUGCUUAUUUAAUUCAGGAGAAUGUAUUUCCAUUUGUGGGCAUGAGAAAGGAGAUGCUGAGCAAAACAUGCAAUUAGUAAGUGAACAUUAGUUAAAAUUAGAAGAAGAUGUUGGAUAAGGUACAGGUUUAUCUGGAGAGAAUAAAAGGAAAUGUGGACCAGUUUCAUGAAAGGGAAUCCUAUCUCCAGGAAGUUUCAAAAUGGGAAACUGCUCAUAUAUGCUAGGGGAAAAAGACUAUUGCAGAAAGGAGAAAAGAAACAUCCUCUAAUCGGAGCCAUGGCUUUAAGAUUUGCAAGAGAGGACCUUUGCUCUUUUCGAUUCUUUUUUAGAAAAAUGAACAAGGAAGAGAGAAGGGAGGCAUAAGAAAACAUGUGAAACUGCACUUACCUUAGAGUUUCCAUAACAACUUGAUUAAAUCUGCCUACUUACACAGUAAACAGUUACUAUUAAAUAUUAAUAUUCAUUAUGCUAAAUAUUAACUAUUCAGUAAUACAGGCUAGGGAAAUAGAGAAGAAACUGAUUAUGUACUUUUCCACACUGCAGGUUUCAGUCAGAUGGAAGAAAUUUUUCCUUUAAAUGAAGUUUAAAUAUUGAUUUUUACAGUAAACAUUUUUAUUAGAAAAUGACUAAUUUAAUUGCUAUGAGACUGACCUUGUGAUUCGAAGUAUUUCAGAUACUUUUCCUUAGCUUAGAGCGACUGAAAAAGUUAUUAAAUUACCCAUAAUUUCAUCCAGGAACAGGGA
Delphinapterus leucas (beluga whale) is the source of this 1599-nucleotide non-coding RNA. Lineage: Eukaryota; Metazoa; Chordata; Mammalia; Artiodactyla; Monodontidae. The record is from RefSeq and is a predicted model, not a curated record.